RNAcentral lists this ribosomal RNA (483 nucleotides) under uncultured bacterium. Its description in RNAcentral is "partial 16S ribosomal RNA". It matches the Rfam family "Bacterial small subunit ribosomal RNA", at positions 30 to 506 of the family's 1533-position model. The record is from RNAcentral.
AUUGAACGCUGGCGGCAGGCCUAACACAUGCAAGUCGAGCGGAUGAAGGGAGCUUGCUCCUGGAUUCAGCGGCGGACGGGUGAGUAAUGCCUAGGAAUCUGCCUGGUAGUGGGGGAUAACGUCCGGAAACGGGCGCUAAUACCGCAUACGUCCUGAGGGAGAAAGUGGGGGAUCUUCGGACCUCACGCUAUCAGAUGAGCCUAGGUCGGAUUAGCUAGUUGGUGGGGUAAAGGCCUACCAAGGCGACGAUCCGUAACUGGUCUGAGAGGAUGAUCAGUCAAACUGGAACGGAGAAACGGUCCAGACCCCUACGGGGGGCAGCAGUGGGGAAUAUUGGACAAUGGGCGAAAGCCUGAUCCAGCCAUGCCGGGGGUGUGAAGAAGGUUUUCGGAUUGUAAAGCACUUUAAGUUGGGAGGAAGGGAAGUAAGUUAAUACCUUGCUGUUUGGACGUUACCAACAGAAUAAGCACCGGCUAACUUCGU